Non-coding RNA from Corylus avellana, 970 nucleotides. The record is from RefSeq and is a predicted model, not a curated record. Lineage: Eukaryota; Viridiplantae; Streptophyta; Magnoliopsida; Fagales; Betulaceae.
AUUUCUAGCAUUAGGAGGCGUAUGCAUGCAUCCAUACACAUACAUACGUACAUAAAUACAUACACAUGUGUGUGUACCUUUUGUUCUUAGUAGUUGCUUGAAGAAAGUUGUGUAAUUUUGAUUUUCUCUGACAUCAGAGAGAGCUGUUUUAUAAAACCUUGUUUGUGAUUCAAAAUUGCAAGAAGUUGCAAGAAGAGUCUGAGUUGUGAGGAUUUAUCCUGUUCUAGUUUGUAUGUCUCUGAUGCUCUGUUGAUUAGUUAAACCUUUCGUUGUUGCUCUUGAUGCAUAUUGUUGACUUAGAAUUUAUGAUAUAUAUGGUUUCCGGGGAAGUGAGCCUCUUGCAGAAGAAGCUAUACAAUUGAUAUCUAAUACUGGGGAUGUAGCUGUGCUAGCUCAUCCAGGGGCACUGAAAAAUCCUGUUGCCAUUAUCAGGAGGCUGAAAGAGGCUGGCCUUCAUGGGAUGGAGGUUUACACAAGUGAUGAAAACUAGCAGCAUACAGUGACGUAGCAGAUGGUUAUGGUCUUUUAAAGCUGGGAGGAUCAGAUUAUCAUGGAAGAGGUGGGCAUGGUGAAUCUGAAUUGGGAAGUGUGAACCUUCCUAUAUUGGCUGCUCAUGACUUCCUUAAGGUAGCUCAACCGAUCUGGUGUCGUGCCAUCUGAAACAUUUUAGAGAGUUAUGCCGACGAGCUUUCUGAUUUGAAUCUAGCGAAGAUUACAAGAUUUGGGAGGGGCCCAAUUUUUAAUAGGGGCUCUCCAGUGAGUUGCAGCAAGGACUUAAUUGAUUGUUGCAUGUCUUUGUGGUUGACCAAUGAAGAGAGUCAAAAUGCAGAGUUUGAAGCUAUCUCUAUUAAUCAGGGAGGAAUUCAGGUUCCUAUUGAAAGUGAAUUGUUGCGAAUUGAAUAUUCAUCUUCUUUAUCAAAUUCAUUUUCACCAUCUCAUUUUUGGCAUUUAUGCUGUCAUAUUUAACUAA